Molecule: ribosomal RNA, 801 nt
Filed under: uncultured Acidobacteriota bacterium
Lineage: Bacteria; Pseudomonadati; Acidobacteriota
Description: bacterial SSU rRNA
Rfam family: Bacterial small subunit ribosomal RNA
Source: RNAcentral
AGAGAUCAUGGCUCAGAAUCAACGCUGGCGGCGUGCCUAACACAUGCAAGUCGAACGCGGUUACUCCGCAAGGAGUAACUGAGUGGCGAACGGGUGAGUAACACGUGGGUGAUCUACCUCUGAGUGGGGGAUAACGUUCCGAAAGGAACGCUAAUACCGCAUGACGUUCUGGGUUUGAAGGCCUGGAAACCAAAGUCGGGGACCGCAAGGCCUGACGCUUGGAGAGGAGCCCGCGCCUGAUUAGCUAGUUGGUGAGGUAAUGGCUCACCAAGGCGACGAUCAGUAGCCGGCCUGAGAGGGCGGACGGCCACACUGGGACUGAGACACGGCCCAGACUCCUACGGGAGGCAGCAGUGGGGAAUUGUUCGCAAUGGGCGCAAGCCUGACGACGCAACGCCGCGUGGAGGAUGAAGGUCUUCGGAUUGUAAACUCCUGUUGAUCGGGAAGAAUAGCCCCCGGAUGAAUACUCCGGGGGAAUGACGGUACCGAUUGAGGAAGCCACGGCUAACUCUGUGCCAGCAGCCGCGGUAAUACAGAGGUGGCAAGCGUUGUUCGGAAUUACUGGGCGUAAAGGGCGCGUAGGCGGCCUUGUUAGUCAGACGUGAAAUCCCCAAGCUUAACUUGGGAACUGCGUCUGAUACUGCAAGGCUUGAGUUCGGGAGAGGGAUGUGGAAUUCCAGGUGUAGCGGUGAAAUUGCGUACAUAUCUGGAGGAACACCGGGUGGCGAAGCGGCAUCCUGGACCGAAACUGACACUGAAGCGCGAAAGCUAGGGGAGCAAACGGGAUUAGAUACCCCGGUA